AGGACGAACGCUGGCGGUGUGCUUCACACAUGCAAGUCGAACGAGGUAGCAAUACCUAGUGGCGGACGGGUGAGUAACGCGUGGGAAUCUGCCUUUAGAUGGGGGAUAACGGGCCGAAAGGUCCGCUAAUACCGCAUAGGCCGCAAGGUUAAAGGAGUAAUCCGUCUAAAGAUGAGCCCGCGUCCGAUUAGCUAGUUGGUAGGGUAAAAGCCUACCAAGGCGACGAUCGGUAGCUGGUCUGAGAGGAUGAUCAGCCACAAUGGGACUGAGACACGGCCCAUACUCCUACGGGAGGCAGCAGUGGGGAAUUUUCGUCAAUGGGGGCAACCCUGAACGAGCAACGCCGCGUGCAGGAAGACACUUUUCGGAGCGUAAACUGCUUUUCUCGGGGACGAGUAAGGACGGUACCCGAGGAAUCAGCCCCGGCUAACUACGUGCCAGCAGCCGC
This 448-nucleotide ribosomal RNA is filed under the name uncultured bacterium. RNAcentral's name for it is "SSU rRNA". It matches the Rfam family "Bacterial small subunit ribosomal RNA", at positions 26 to 518 of the family's 1533-position model. The record is from RNAcentral.